This 1328-nucleotide ribosomal RNA is filed under the name Microphotus angustus. Its description in RNAcentral is "partial 16S ribosomal RNA". Lineage: Eukaryota; Metazoa; Arthropoda; Insecta; Coleoptera; Lampyridae. The record is from RNAcentral.
UUUUCUUUAGUUUGUAUAUCGUUGUUAUUGAAUUUCUUUAUAGGGUAAUUUCAUUUAUUUUUAUAUAAAUUAAUUUCCGAUCAAGGUGCAGUUUAUGGAAAAGUACGUGAUGGGUUACAAUAAAUUUAUUUUUGGUUAUUAAAUUUAAGUUUUUAAUAUAAAUUGGAUUUAACAGUAAUUAAAUUAAUUUUAUUUUGAUGAUUAUUGUUCUGAAAUAUGUACAUAUUGCCCGUCGCUUUCAAUUAAUUUGAGAUAAGUCGUAACAAAGUAGAUGUACUGGAAAGUGUAUCUAGAAUACAAAUUGAAGCUUUGAGGAAGCUUUUUAUUUACAUUAAAAUUAUUACUGUUCAAUUCAGUACAUUUUGAUUAAAAUUAAAUUAUUUAUUUUAUUUAAUAGAAGAAACUUUAUUUUAUUAUUAAUUUGAAAAAUUAUUUUUAACUAUAGUUUAUUAGUAAAGUGAUUGAAUAUUAUUUCUUAUUAUACACGUAAAAUUUAUUUUUUGUACCUUGUGGAUCAGGGUUUAUUUAUUAUAAUUUAUUUAUUUAAUUUUCUCGAAUUUAAAAGAUCUAAUUAUUUAUUUAUUUAAAUGUUGAAUAAUUUUUUUUAAUAUUUAAUUAGAAGUGAAAUGCUAUUCGAUUUUAAAUAUAUCUAGUUUUUUAAGAAAAGAAUUUAAUUCUAUUAUUAUUUUUUAAGUGUUUUUUUUUAAUUCUUAAGUUUUAAUAUUAAAUAUUUAAUGGGAUGAGCUUUUAAUUAUAUUUUUAUAAUAAUAAUAUUUUUUAAUAUUUUGUAUAAUUUGAAUUGUUAAUCAUAAAUAAAAUAAUAUUUAGGUUUAUAAAUUAAAAGAUUUUUUGUUAUUUAAUUGUUUUAUUAAAAUAAAAUAUUAAAUUUUAAUUUUUUGUAUUAAUGAUGAAAUUAGUAAUAAUAAUUUAAUCRCUGUUUAUAAUUGUAAGAUUAUGAAAAGGAACUCGGCAAAAUAACUUUCGCCUGUUUAACAAAAACAUGUUUUUUUGAUUAUAAUUUAAGAUUUAAUCUGCUCAAUGAAGGAUUAAAUAGCCGCAGUAUUUUGACUGUGCAAAGGUAGCGUAAUAAUUAGUCUCCUAAUUAGGGAUUUGUAUGAAUGAUUUGACAAGAAAAUUUCUGUCUCUUUUUAAUUUAUAUGAAUUUAAUUUUUAAGUUAAAAUGCUUAAAUAUUUAUAAAAGACGAGAAGACCCCAUAGAGUUUUAUUUUUAUAAAUUUUUAGUAUAAAUAUAUAAAGAAAAAUUAGUUGGGGUGAUUGAAAGAUUAAAAUAACUCCUUUUAAUUAAAAUCAUUGAUUUAUGAAUAAUA